RNAcentral lists this unclassified non-coding RNA (221 nucleotides) under uncultured fungus. RNAcentral describes it as "sequence contains ITS1, 5.8S rRNA gene". The stretch from base 173 to 221 matches the Rfam family "5.8S ribosomal RNA", at positions 1 to 49 of the family's 154-position model. The record is from RNAcentral. Lineage: Eukaryota; Fungi.
UCUCCGUAGGUGAACCUGCGGAGGGAUCAUUACUGAGUGAGGGGCUCCGGCCCCAGACCUCCAACCCAUUGUUAUCCGACACUGUUGCCUCGGGGGCAGAGCGGCCUCCGCCGCCCCCGGUGGACCAUUUAACACUGUCUCUGUAUGUCGGAGUCUUUGAUGAAUAUAUGAAAACUUUUAACAACGGAUCUCUUGGUUCUGGCAUCGAUGAAGAACGCAGC